Molecule: ribosomal RNA, 513 nt
Filed under: uncultured bacterium
Lineage: Bacteria
Description: partial 16S ribosomal RNA
Rfam family: Bacterial small subunit ribosomal RNA
Source: RNAcentral
GGUGAACGCUGGCGGCGUGCCUAAUACAUGCAAGUCGAGCGAACAGACGAGGAGCUUGCUCCUCUAACGUUAGCGGCGGACGGGUGAGUAACACGUGGAUAACCUACCUAUAAGACUGGGAUAACUUCGGGAAACCGGAGCUAAUACCGGAUAAUAUAUUGAACCGCAUGGUUCAAUAGUGAAAGACGGUUUUGCUGUCACUUAUAGAUGGAUCCGCGCCGCAUUAGCUUGUUGGUAAGGUAACAGCUUACCAAGGCAACGAUGCGUAGCCGACCUGAGAGGGUGAUCGGCCACACUGGAACUGAGACACGGUCCAGACUCCUACGGGAGGCAGCAGUAGGGAAUCUUCCGCAAUGGGCGAAAGCCUGACGGAGCAACGCCGCGUGAGUGAUGAAGGUCUUCGGAUCGUAAAACUCUGUUAUUAGGGAAGAACAAAUGUGUAAGUAACUAUGCACGUCUUGACGGUACCUAAUCAGAAAGCCACGGCUAACUACGUGCCAGCCGCCGCCGUAA